ACAUUAUGCUGAGACAACGGUUCCCCUAUGAUCACUGGUUAAGCAAUGUUGAGCUUGGUCAGUACCUAGAUGGGUGACCACUCAGGAAUACCAGGUGCUGUAA
Molecule: non-coding RNA, 103 nt
Organism: Acanthosepion pharaonis
Lineage: Eukaryota; Metazoa; Mollusca; Cephalopoda; Sepiida; Sepiidae
Source: the annotation of a GenBank genome assembly